Pseudopipra pipra is the source of this 516-nucleotide long non-coding RNA. RefSeq lists it as uncharacterized. Lineage: Eukaryota; Metazoa; Chordata; Aves; Passeriformes; Pipridae. The transcript is spliced from 2 exons. The record is from RefSeq and is a predicted model, not a curated record.
UCAUAUUGAUUGCAGCACAGUAACAAGAGGCCCUCCAGCAGACGUGGUUUUGUCUCUCUAGGCAAGUGCAGCUGUGAACAGGGCUCCCGGAUCCAACUGGAACUGAGAUGUGAAUGGGAGAAAAAGAUAAUUUCUGUCAUCAAUGGCUUCUCAAUAUCUCUCUGAGUUGAUAAUCCAUUGCUUCAGAUGCCACUCUUGCUUUCCACAGGAGAUUUCCAAGGGAGGAGUUGGGGCUGUAUCUAUACCUCACAGCAAUUUUAUUUGCCUCCCAGCAAUGUUGUUCGGUUGGUAGAUCAACUGAUGUGUAUGUGCACUGUAGAAGUAAGGAAAAUGCACUUGAAGGUAGUCUCUUAUCUAUCUUUGCAACGUUUUAUUAGUUUAAAUACAGUAUCACUCAAACUAACCUACUUGGCCAGAAAAAAAAAAUACAUUCUUUAUGCUGGCUAAGCAAUCGGUAAUCAAGAAUUCAGUCCAUGAACACCUGAUGGAAAUAAAAGUGAUCCUUAAACUUGAAAA